RNAcentral lists this ribosomal RNA (119 nucleotides) under Jaculus jaculus (lesser Egyptian jerboa). The record is from RNAcentral. Lineage: Eukaryota; Metazoa; Chordata; Mammalia; Rodentia; Dipodidae.
AUCUACAGCCAUACCAUCCUGAACACACCUGAGCUCGUGUGAUCUUGGAAGCUAAGCAAGCAGGGUCGGGCCUGGUUAGUACUUGGGUGGGGGAAAAGGGAAACUGAGCAUUUUGGUUU